RNAcentral lists this transfer RNA (364 nucleotides) under uncultured Microcystis sp. Its description in RNAcentral is "partial 16S-23S ribosomal RNA intergenic spacer". The stretch from base 135 to 208 matches the Rfam family "tRNA". Lineage: Bacteria; Bacillati; Cyanobacteriota; Cyanophyceae; Chroococcales; Microcystaceae. The record is from RNAcentral.
AAAGGGAGACCUAAUUCAGGUAGGAGACGAAAAAAAGUAGUCCCUACCAAGAAUCAAUCCCAAAAGGUCGGAGCGAGGCAAAAUUGGCUUUCAAACUAGGUUCUGGGUUCACAUAAGACCUGAAUCAGGAACAAGGGCUAUUAGCUCAGGUGGUUAGAGCGCACCCCUGAUAAGGGUGAGGUCCCUGGUUCGAGCCCAGGAUGGCCCACCUGCACAGGUGGCAAAAACAAAGAAAAGAAGCUCCGAAUCAGCACCUUAUCUUACUCAUAUAGUAAGAGAGAAUGCUGGCUCUGAGUUCAGAGUCCAGAGGAACCUUGAAAACUGCAUAGAGCUAGGUGAAAAAGCCAAAAAAGAAGACCGCAAG